RNAcentral lists this non-coding RNA (24 nucleotides) under Mus musculus (house mouse). The record is from RNAcentral. Lineage: Eukaryota; Metazoa; Chordata; Mammalia; Rodentia; Muridae.
UCGCUGCUUUGGAACCACUUCUCC